CACAUGAUGCAAACCAUUCGGACCAGGCAGGUUAAAGACACUGCCACCUGCUGGAGGCAGCUUUUCCUACAACAAUAGCAUUUUAUUACUUAUUUUAAUUUGUGUGCUUUUUGCUUUCUAGUAGCCAUUCAUGUUUGGGAUUAUUGGUACAUGAGAUGAAUGUGUAAUGAAAAAAGUAAUAAAAAAAAAGAAAAGGAAUUCAGGUCGAGUGUUGACUGUGGUCUAGGCCCCUGUGGCCCCCAGGGUUCGUUUCAGGUGCCAUCUGGUGUAAGAUUAAGACCUGCUAAGUCUAAUGUCUCCAGUCUUGAUUGAAUUCUGGAUUAUAUCUGGGGGAGAACAUGAAGUUAAGAACAAAGAUUAUGUUUUUUCUUUUCUUUCUGUAGUCAGGGCGUGGUUUAAAACUCAAAUCAUCAUUGUUACAUUUCUUGUUGUGUCUUUGCAAAAUAUCGGCUCAUGCCGCUCUGUUCACUGCAGAUCAUGAGCAUGUGCGUUACGCAACUACAUCUUAUGGAUGAACAGCGUUUGUAAAGCGGGCCUACAUCUAAUGCAACUUUAUCGCCUGUAACAAAGCGGCUGAAGAGGAUUACGCUGCUGCUGCUGCCACAGAAACUUAGUGACCAGUGGAAAAGAGAGAGUAGAGAGGGGUGGGGAGUUCAUGAAGAGAGUCGAAGCAGACAGAUUCAAUCAGACGUACACACAGCCCUUCGCCCACACAGCUGACGAAGGUUGGGGGAUUGUUUGGUUUUUUUAGGUGACACCGAUUUUUAAGAGUCCACUCAGUCUGCCACGAUGAUGCACCCUUUAAUCAUUGGCAUCAUGACCGUAAACACCUCUCUAACCGUUAUCUAUUGGGCUUUCCUCCUGGGAGACGUUUACUUCAAGUGGCUGGUGGAGCCAGAAGACAAACCCAAGAAGCUGGUUACCCCAGCCUGAGGGAGUCACUGGCGAUAUGGACCUACUCUACUGAGUGACUGGGUGUUGUUUUGCUUAUAGGACUAGUUCGGCUUGUAGUGCUUUCUGUGGAGCUUCAUUUUGUGAUCAAUCUGCCCAUGUUUCACCUGAAGAGGAUCUAGAGCCCCACUGUGAACGGAUCCUGAGAGUAAAUGAGAAAGGAAUCCUUCUCACAGAGCUGUCUGUGUGCAACACUAAUUUGGAAGUCUGAGGAGCUGUUUCAAUUCUCGAUCACAAGCUGGGAUCUUCAACAAAGACAAUGAAUCGGUCAUCACCCUGAGAAACUGCCCCAAAGUUUCAUUGUGUUCUCUGAACAGCCUGGCCUUUCAAUAGUGUCGACAUCAAUUCCACCCGAAGCACCCAAACCACAAACCAACAACCAGUCAUGUCCCUGAACGCGUCAAGAGAAGCUCUGCUUUUGAACCUCACACCGGCGGUGUUUGAGCACCGAUAGCUCCUCCAGCUGUCCCGGAGGAUGGAGGAGGAGGCCUACUUCGUGGACUACAUUCCUCCAGCUAGAGAUGCAAUAACUCUGCCGCGCAAUGCAGUCUAUGUCCUAGCCGGGGUGGUGUUGGUUAUAGUGGCCACUUAUGCCAUAGUGGGACACCUGAUUAAAGAUCUGAUGCAUGACCUGGCAGACUGGAUUCUUGGCCCAAAACCAGUGGAGGAUGAUUCAGAGGAGGGAAGAGCAGAGAUAGAAGAGGAGCGGCUGCUCAGUGUCUCCAGUAAGCUGAUGGGGAAAGACAGGGUGAGGAUGGAAAAGGAAAAGGACGGGCUGCUGCCGGGUUUCCACCAGGCGGAUGGAGACUGUCGCCAUCCGCCCGCCGCUCCUCCGCUGAGAAGCGCCGUAGCUUCAUCCUACCUGGGAGAAAAAAGGAUAUCUACUCAUAGCGUGACCUUCGCCUGCCCUGUGACCCCUUAUAUCACUUCCAUCUGAGUUUCUGCAAAUUCACCUUGUCGCAUAGGUUGCUCAGAUACAUUUAGUCAUUUCAGUGCGGUGAUCAAUGUUGGUUAUUUGCUGUAGUGAGGCCAAAGCAUUUUUGUUUUGUUUUUUAUAAAUCACUGCAAAUGCUAGUCAGCAGUUAUAGUCAGUGCUCAUGUAACAAGAAAAUGCUUUCUUUAAGUACUUAUUAAAAACACCAAUGUAAAAACAAGGUCCUCAUUGUCAAUCAUUUAGUUAUAUUGCACUAUUAUGACGAUCCAAAUUCGCAUGCAUCAAAAUGUGUUUUAUUUUGAAUUUGUAAAUCUGAAAAUUCCAUAAUGUAAGAAUGUUUUCAUUAAAAUGUAAAUUUCUUU
RNA transcript from Scophthalmus maximus (turbot), 2247 nucleotides. It is a transcript of the gene named small integral membrane protein 44, with no coding region annotated. The record is from RefSeq and is a predicted model, not a curated record. NCBI's taxonomy places the organism in Eukaryota, Metazoa, Chordata, Actinopteri, Pleuronectiformes, Scophthalmidae. The transcript has 4 exons.